Molecule: ribosomal RNA, 301 nt
Filed under: uncultured bacterium
Lineage: Bacteria
Description: partial 16S ribosomal RNA
Rfam family: Bacterial small subunit ribosomal RNA
Source: RNAcentral
CAGCCGCCGCGGUAAUACGGAGGGUGCAAGCGUUAUCCGGAUUCAUUGGGUUUAAAGGGUCCGUAGGCGGAUCUGUAAGUCAGUGGUGAAAUCUCACAGCUUAACUGUGAAACUGCCAUUGAUACUGCAGGUCUUGAGUAAAUUUGAAGUGGCUGGAAUAAGUAGUGUAGCGGUGAAAUGCAUAGAUAUUACUUAGAACACCAAUUGCGAAGGCAGGUCACUAAGAUUUAACUGACGCUGAUGGACGAAAGCGUGGGGAGCGAACAGGAUUAGAUACCCGCGUAGUCCCUGUCUCUUAUAC